UAGGGAAUAUUGCAAAAUGGGCGAAAGCCCGAUGCAGCAACGCCGCGUGGGCGAUGAAGGCCUUCGGGUCGUAAAGCCCUUUUUGAGGGGAUGAGGAAGGACAGUACCCUCAGAAUAAGCCUCGGCUAACUACGUGCCAGCAGCCGCGGUAAAACGUAGGAGGCGAGCGUUAUCCGGAUUUACUGGGCGUAAAGCGCGUGCAGGCGGAUUGGAGAGUUGGAUGUGAAAGCUCCCGGCUUAACUGGGGGAGGUCGUUCAAUACUUCCAGUCUUGAGUGCAGUAGAGGGAAGUGGAAUUCCGGGUGUAGUGGUGAAAUGCGUAGAUAUCCGGAGGAACACCUGAGGCGAAGGCGGGUUGCUGGGCCGACACUGACGCUGAUGCGCGAAAGCCAGGGGAGCAAACG
RNAcentral lists this ribosomal RNA (403 nucleotides) under uncultured bacterium. Its description in RNAcentral is "bacterial SSU rRNA". It matches the Rfam family "Bacterial small subunit ribosomal RNA", at positions 355 to 774 of the family's 1533-position model. The record is from RNAcentral.